GCUUGGGGCACAUGUGGCUUUUCGACUUGGAUCCAACGGGUUGUAGGAAGAACUCUUUGUCUGAAAUCAUCAUAAGAUCACGAGUUUUUUAAUGUUGGUACCAGUCACUGCGCCGAUAUCUGUGGUAGCAGCGCCAGGGAGUGACAUUACCAUAUCUUGUGUGUUUUCAUCUAAUAAAGACCUGAAUCUGUAUAACCUGAUCAUCAACUGGCAGAAAAAUACUGAGGAAAGUAGGAGAGUUUAUUUUUAGGAAUGCCACGGACAAUUGUUAUCCCCAUUCUAUUUGUACUAAGGUGGUGCACAGCUUCUACAAUGGGAAAAAGAGACUGGUCAGGCAGAGUGCUAAAGGAUGCUGUCAUCUCUUUGAGGAGCAGCUUGCUGAGGGCAACGCCUCUCUCAGAUUGACCAGUGUCCAACCCAGUGACAAGGGAAUAUAUAAGCGUAUUGUCACUAAUGAAGUGGAAACCAUGCAGACGGAUACAGAGCUGAUAGUUUCGGGUAAUUUAUUUAGUUUUACUGAAAUUGUGUAAUUGUUGUGUAAUUGGACACAACUCUUUCUCAAGAUAAGUUGCACAGCAUCCACGAACCAUCGACCAGCUUCCUCGUCUCAACGGCAAACUGUAUUAUAGCUCAGCUGUGAGUUUACUGAGGUGGGCUGGUAACUUGUGAUCAGUAGAAGUCAUACCUUCUAGUGUGAGUUAAUGUUUAAAAAAAAGGGAGGGUUUCAUGUACUCGUACUCUUUACUCCUUCUCUUUCUUGCAGACUGCUGUAGGGUAGCAGAGAGGGACAGGAUGCUGUGUUUCCCCCUGGGACUAGUGUGUGGAGUGUUGUGGUGGUACUGGUGCUCAUGAGCUUAACACUGAAAGUUGAAAACCUUAAUCUUUAGGUAACAGAGGUACCUAAAGGUACGGUAUUCAGGCUCAAUCUGUGAAUGUUUACAUUACAAUAAAUUGUGAAAUCCAUAUGACUUGACUAUUCAAGAAACACAGCACAGUACUCUAAUUCGUGUGUGUACAUAUGCCUUUACGCCAAAUAAAUAUUGUUGUAGCAUUGUAUUUUAUAUUUUGAAUGAAUCUUUGUACUGUUUGUAUAUGAUGGAAGCAGGUGAUUUGACUGCCUGAGUGAAAUAACUAUAAUCAAAACGAUUAAUUGAUGAGAAAUGGAUAUGCAUUUGGUGUAUUGCAAAAAAGAAACAAAUUGAUUUAUUAAAAUGAUUUGUUGCUAAUGCAAGCAAGUAGGCAUACUAUACAUAUAGUCACAAGUAUCUGGUAAAGAGCAAGGCUUGGCCUAUAUACCACUCUGAAUUAAUGUUGUCCUGAGAAUAUCAGGAUUCUGCUACAAAAGAAAUUUACUUUGAGUUAUGACUAAUUAAUUAUGAAAAGCAAGUCAUGAUCAUGUGACCCAACUUCUGGAAUAUUUGUGAGUAUAAGUGAGUUUUUGGUUAUAUAACAGUUGGCCUACACUAAUGGAAAUCAAUUUACUGUAAUUGGCCAUUGUAAAUUGUAUUUCAAUAAGUGGAUGCUAUAUUGAGUGUAAUCAAUGAGAGCGGUAACAGUUUUCAGGACAGGUACAAAGGAUAUUUGACUACUGAAUAUCACAUCCGCGCAAGAAUUGUGUAUUCAUUCAUGUCACAAUAUUACCCUCUUAAAACUCUUAACAAUAACCUAAAUACCUGAUAAUACUUAUUUAGCAAAUCUAAUGAAAAUGGCAGUCAUUUAAAGAAUAAAACAUUUUUCUAAUGCACAGUUUCUAACGUUCACCAUGAAUUAAACUAACACGGAAGUCUGUUUAUAAAAUAAGACAGGGAUUUCCCGUACAUUGUAUUUGUAUAGUAUCUUGUGUUGUCACGCACCAAGGAGAGGGGCUUUCGUCUUCUUUACGCAGUAUACACACCCUGAGUUUAUUGAACAUGUUAUCGUUACAAAAGAUCAGCUGGCUUAUGUACUUUUGAUUAAAAGUUUAUGUAGUUCAACUGAACAAUUAUUUAGCUUAGCUUCAAUUGUGUUGGCACACACCGAGGAGAGGGGCCCCUCGUCUUACUUUACGUUAGAGUUUUCAAUACAUUGAGUAUUCAAUCUAACUUUAUUGACAAUUAUGUUCAUUAUACCACUCAGAAAUGAUUUUGUCCUGAGAAUAUCAGGAUUCUGCUACAAAAUAAAUUAACUUUGAGUUAUGACAAUAAUUAAUUAUGAAAAGCAAGUUUUGAUCAUGUGACCCAACUUCUAGAAUAUUUUAAGUGAGUUUUUGGUAGAACAAGUGUACAGUAUACACACCCUGAGUUUAUUGAACAUCAGGUGGCCUAAUUAAAUGCUUAGACUAUAAUGAGUAUGAGUAUUCAAGUUAACUUUAUUGACAAUUAUGUCACCAAAAGGUUUUUGUCACUGUACAUUUACAUUUAGUCAUUUGGCAGACGCUCUUAUC
Molecule: RNA transcript, 2422 nt
Organism: Hypomesus transpacificus
Lineage: Eukaryota; Metazoa; Chordata; Actinopteri; Osmeriformes; Osmeridae
Gene name: programmed cell death 1 ligand 1-like
Exons: 3
Source: RefSeq, a predicted model, not a curated record